UCUAGCAGGACUCUCAGGACUCAG
This 24-nucleotide non-coding RNA is filed under the name Mus musculus (house mouse). Lineage: Eukaryota; Metazoa; Chordata; Mammalia; Rodentia; Muridae. The record is from RNAcentral.